RNAcentral lists this ribosomal RNA (525 nucleotides) under Triticum aestivum (bread wheat). Its description in RNAcentral is "partial small subunit ribosomal RNA". The record is from RNAcentral. Lineage: Eukaryota; Viridiplantae; Streptophyta; Magnoliopsida; Poales; Poaceae.
AUGACAGCUAUUAGAUCUCUAGCAUGGAAGAUCGGCGGCCGCGCACUACAGCGAUCGCCGGUCAUCUGUCCUGCUGUGAAGGUGGAACACGAGCUGCUCCUCCGUAUGCCUCCACAUGUUGUCAAAUCUCGCCUAUUUAGCUCCGGUGGUUCCGACACAGGCGAACCCUUAUGUAAGAAUUGUUUACACUCUUUCACAGGGCCUGCUGCGGAUGCUAGGUCCCAUCUUAAUAAUCUAGGACCCAAGGGUCUUAGAGAGGAAGUGGAGAAGAAGAAAAAAGAUCUGCUAUAUGCACUACUGAAGAUGGAUUCCUGCACCAAUUUGAGUGCAUUUCAGGGUGAAAAUAGAGAGGAGCUGGGCGUCCUGCUCCCACUGCUCCAACCCAAGACGCAACAACCCAGGCUUGAAGAGUUACUUGAUCGACCAAUGAAGUUCUGCAUCUUCGUGAUUUGCGCAGCACCUAUUGUGGCCGUUCUUUGUGUUUACAGAAACAGUACUCGCCCGUUUGCAAUAGAUGAAGAGUAA